UUACAAUGGAGAGUUUGAUCCUGGCUCAGGAUGAACGCUAGCGGCAGGCUUAAUACAUGCAAGGCGAAGGGGCAGCAAUGUCACUGUCGUACGGGUGCGUAACGCGUAUGCAACCUACCUAUCACUGGGGGAUAGCCCGGGGAAACCCGGAUUAAUACCGCAUAAAACAGGGGCACCGCAUGGUGAUAUUUGUUAAAGAUUUAUUGGUGAUAGAUGGGCAUGCGUUCGAUUAGCUAGUUGGCGGGGUAACGGCCCACCAAGGCGACGAUCGAUAGGGGAGCUGAGAGGUUGAUCCCCCACACGGGCACUGAGAUACGGGCCCGACUCCUACGGGAGGC
RNAcentral lists this ribosomal RNA (338 nucleotides) under Dyadobacter soli. RNAcentral describes it as "bacterial SSU rRNA". It matches the Rfam family "Bacterial small subunit ribosomal RNA", at positions 1 to 349 of the family's 1533-position model. The record is from RNAcentral. Lineage: Bacteria; Pseudomonadati; Bacteroidota; Cytophagia; Cytophagales; Spirosomataceae.